This is a long non-coding RNA of Onychostoma macrolepis, 1930 nucleotides long. RefSeq lists it as uncharacterized. The transcript has 4 exons. Lineage: Eukaryota; Metazoa; Chordata; Actinopteri; Cypriniformes; Cyprinidae. The record is from RefSeq and is a predicted model, not a curated record.
CAGGCUUUACACUUUACAAUUGCAUAUGAUACGCCAAUCCUCUCCAUUAACUUCGGUGCAGAGCAGAUGCGUCCGAAUACCACGCAGCAUCUUCAGCGGCAAUGACGUCACCAGCGAGGCUCGGCUGAUGCGCGUGCACCUGCAAACAGAAAGCUGCUAGAAUUAACAGGGAACUCAAUGCUGAUCUUGAAGAAGCUGCCAAGGCUGAACAAGUCCUUCAAUGAUUCAACUCUUCACACUGAAAGGGAAGACCAAAGGAAGGCCUGUCCUGGGAUUUGAUUUUGGCCGUAUUGUGCGUUUACGGAGAAGACCCAGAGCUGCAAAGACAAAUGGAUUUCUCACGGAUUACGUAGUCCUUCUCCAUCAGCUCUCCACAGUAUCAGCGCUUCCAAAAGCUUCCACAUCUCUCUCAUGUAGCACAUCUGCUCUCUUCCAGUCUUAACAGGUCUACUUGUAUUCAUUUCUCCUCUACAGUCAACUACUGUGAGCACCGCUCCUGUCACAAUCACUAUAUAUAUAUAUAUAUAUAUUUCUUGCUCAAAACGGUUCACUUUUAUAAUUAUAAAAUUAUAAUUGUUAUUAACUAUAAUUUGUCUUGCACUUAGUCACAAUAGAAGCAAAGAAUGAUUACUGGAGACAGGAGAUAUAUUUUUAAAGGUAAUAAUUGUAAAAUAUUGAAGUGUUGUUCUUAAUUUUGUACCUAUUUGUUUGUUAAAGGGAAGAAAAUAAUAUCUUUUAAAUUGGAGCCUUGAAUAUUCUUUGGCAUCUUAUUUGUUUACGAUUUCUGUAAACAAAUUCUCUUUAUUUGUGAAUAUUAGACCAUUUUUUUAAAAAGGGGUUUUCUAUUGCAUAUUUCUUAGUUACCUCUAUGCAAAUACAUGUUUAUAAUCAACUGCAUUUUUUGUUUUCAUUAUUUUUCCAUAGUGCCACAAACUGGAGAGAGAAUGCUGUUCUGGGCACUAUGCUUAUCUUGGAAAAGUUUGACAUAUCAAUAAACAUUGGAAAAUGACUACAAAAUGUGUGAUUCAAUUUUUAGUUUUUUAAUUGUUUGCUUGUUUUUUAUUCCUAUACUUCAACUGGCAGAUCUAUGAAUGGCAAGUUUGUACGGUCCAUUUCCAGGAAACAUAGAAGUGAUUCAUUAUUUACCUUUAAUACACUAUAACACUAAAUGUUACAGAAGCAUGAUUUAAAAUACUGCAUGUUUGAAUAAUCAGUUUUUUUUUUGUUUUUUUAAGCAACUGAAAUAUUUUGAUUUGAAAAUGUAUUACUGAAAUUUGUUUUUCACAUGGUAUAUGCAAACUUUUGAGUUUAAAUAUUGUACAUUAAUUUAUAUUAGUGUAAACAGUGUAUACAAUGGGAACCAUUACACCCUUGUUUGAAAAAAAAAAGAUCACUGUAAUCAACAAAUCUAUUGCUGCAUCAGGGUUAAGGAUUGGCGUAUCAUAUGCACGCAAAAGUGGCAUUUGGCGUGUGCAUUAUACGCAAUUGCAAAGUGUAACGCCGUGUUAUUUAUACGCAGAUUGAUGAGAACGGGUUGCGUAAAUCAGUUGUUUAAUGAAUAUGGCCACUUAUUAAAUUAUUACUCUUUCCUAUCCUUCUAUUUUACCUUCUUUAGAUUCUAUUUCAGUGCUUUUCUGCCUCUUCUUCUAAUAAAUCAAUACGUUUGUUAUUUCUUAAUGAUUUUGUAUCAAUUCCAGAUGUUUUUGAUUCCAAAUAGAUACUUAAUUACUAAUGUUUUGUUUGGUUUUGUUCAUUCAAAAAAGUGCAUUUACAGAAAAGUAAAUUGUACUUAAUCUCCUUAUUUUGUUAACAAAAUGUUAUAUACAUAAAUGUAAAAGUUCAUGUCAGAAGCCAUUGUUUUAUGUAUUGCUUGCUGACAUACAGCACUACUUUGAGACUAUUUAUAAUUAUUGUAAUAAGAAGGCUUUAA